GAGCCGGUCUCGCGCAAUGGAUGCCCGCGAAUCAUGUCAGGCGGGGAACCGAGCAGCAUUAAGCGGGACGUUCCAUGUGCCGCGAGGGUGCCGGCUCCGC
This 100-nucleotide signal recognition particle RNA is filed under the name Oscillibacter valericigenes. Its description in RNAcentral is "signal recognition particle sRNA small type". It matches the Rfam family "Bacterial small signal recognition particle RNA". From Rfam's summary of the family: The signal recognition particle (SRP) is a universally conserved ribonucleoprotein involved in the co-translational targeting of proteins to membranes. Archaeal SRP consists of a 7S RNA and homologues of the eukaryotic SRP19 and SRP54 proteins. The record is from RNAcentral. RNAcentral also lists the same sequence under 4 other names. Lineage: Bacteria; Bacillati; Bacillota; Clostridia; Eubacteriales; Oscillospiraceae.